CCUCGGUGGCGUUCGCGGGGAGGAACGGGGCCUGCCGGAGGCCGCCCAACGGGGAGGGGCGGAAGGCGCCACCCCGCGGAGGAGGCCCCCGUGCCACAGCCCAGGGCCCCCGAGAGCUCUGGGAGCCCGGGUCAGAUGCUAGAAAUUUGCUUAGAACGUCCGGGUCCCACAGAAGGCGCCCUUGUCGCCCUCUCCCGGGUCGCAUCUCCCUGACGCUGGGGCGCAACCCCUUCGCUCCUCCUCCCCGCUGGCCGCGGCCGGGCUUCCCCAGCUCUUGCUGCUUCGGGCCUGUGACUUCUGCAACCCUGGGCUGGGGGCCGCGGGAGCCCAGGGCCGGUGACACCGCACUGGGAGCCGCCUCAAAGAGGUUACUCACCUCCCUCCUCCCGCAAAUUACUCUGACCCAAGAACCUCCAACCCACAUGGGAUUUUUGUGCGCCGUCCACGCCCGGCCGGCGGCCUCUGCCGCUCCCAGCCCUGCGCGGCUUUGGUCCCAGCCUCGGUGGCCCCUGUGCCAAACCGAGGACAGGCGGAAGGGAGUCUCCCAGGGACCCUAAGUAGCCUGGGGCCAACAACCCCUUUCCUCUCUACUCUCCCCUCAAAACAAGUUUGAGGAUCUCGCAGGCCUCGCGGCGUCGUUCUUCGUUGUGGCGGCCUGUGGCUCUUUGAAAAACACGACGAGGCCUGCAAAAUGCGUUUUCCCAAUUUUUUUCCUUUACGCGUGUAACUACGGUCCUGCAUCGUGAAACACUACGCGCGUCGGCGACAAAAGAAACACUGAGCAGUGGCUGCAAAGCUAAGGGCCCCGGCUUUCAGAGGAGAGAAUUUUCUUUCUCCAUGCGUGUGGAAAGUGGCCUCCGCGGAUCCAAUCCCACUUCUUGGGCUCGUGCGCUCUGGCUGCGCUGCAGGGACCGCUGACAGUUUCGCCAAGGCACUGCCUGCCCUCCUGGCUCCGCGUCCCCGCUCCCACUCCCAGCCGCGUGGCCCAACCUCUCCCGGGCUUCACUGUAAACAACCCCUUCCUCUCCCGCCUCUUAAGUCAGUCGAGCAAGCCUAGGGUACGGCUACAGCUGGGAGGGCAACGGGAAAGAUCAAGCCCCAAUCAUUCCGAAUUAUCGCCCCAGACCCCUCCCUAGACUCUGGGGAACGAACGCGUGCUGAGCCUUCCCGCCGCUUUGGAGACUGGGCUAUAUUUUCGUUGCCUCCGGCUCUCGACAGGUGCAAAACAGUCAAUUCCAAGCCUCGGAAGCAAAGAAGCUUAGGAUUCGACGGUGGCCGCAAGAUCUCAUCAAGGAUCUGACCCCUGCCCAGCGUGCGCCAUUUCGUCGUCGCCAAACGAAAUCAAGCCCCUCGUGCGCUCAAGGGGUGAAGGACUCUGGCCUCACCCCGACCGUCGAAAGAGCUGGCCCCUGCCCCGCUCGAGACCUCAUAUCACGCUCUCAGGCCAUUUCGAAAGCAAGAACGGCAAAGGUCCCUUACUGAACCUUGUAAGAGAGCCUGCGCCUGGCAGUUGUCGAUUGCGGACCCAGGCCCGCGCGCCCUCGGACGCGCUGGCACGAGCAGCAGAACUAGAGGAAAGCGAGCGAUCCAGCCUGGGCGCUCCCAUCUCCAGGAACGUCUCCGGGAAGGCCCAGCGCGUCGUGGCCAGGAUCCAGCAAAUUUUCCUUUGAAGUUUCGAUACAAUUUCCUAGGUCCUUGAAAAGUUGCAGCAAGUCCCACCAUCUGCCUGAGUCUGUUUUCAUUUCCACAAUGGAGGUGGUGACGCCCAGCACACGGCGCUGUGAUGAGGAUGUAAUGGGGAAUCCGGAGCAUUUAUAGAAGUCCCAGGAGGCCAAGAUUCUACACAGGUAGGAAGGACCUAAGCCAGAGGGGUGUGGGUGGCCAGAAGAGAGAGCCUACCUUAGUAGGGCUGGGUGGGCUAAGGUCUGGGCUCAGUCUCGAGGCCCUGGAGCUUAGAACUCCCUGGCUGUGGAAGUUCAGGCAAGGGCUGCUUCCUCUCUGAGUGUCAGUUUCCCCAUCUAUAAAUGGAAAGCUGCGACACUGAAAAACACUGUGGGGAGGAUGGUUCCUGAGGCAGUCUCUCUCCACACAUCACUGGAAUGUCGGCCCCCAGGGAGAAGGCGUCUUUGUCCCUGGUGUUCACUUCUGCAUCCCCAGCGCCCAGAACAGUGCCCGCAUGCAGCAGAUGCUCAAUAAAUGUUCAUUGAAUGAAUCAGCAACAACCAGUUCACCCACCUCACAUCCUAAGUCUGCUGGGGACCUAGGCCCACCUCUCCAGGGAAACUGUCUGCAGAUUGGGACCACACCUCAGGUCACAAGCAUUUCCUGAACACCUACUGUAUGCAUGGCUCUCUGCAGCCCAGGGUGGACCCUGCUCCACAGCCCGACAGGCAGAGCCAAGGAGGCAGGCGACAGACACAGUGAUUUGGGAAGAAGAACGGAGAGCAGGGCGGCCAGCAGGGCCUCGCCUGGGUGGGAGCAGGCCGUUCCCAGGCUGGAGCUCAGGCUGACGGGGGCCUCAGCUUGCCCGUUCCUGGGAGGGUGGGGCUGCCUGUUCCUCUUUCUUUCUUUGAAAACAAAAAUUGUUUUCUCUUAAAUUUAUAAGUAUUAAAAGUUUGGAAAAUACACAGUCAUCAAAAGAAUGUAAAAUAAAGGUUGCCUGCCAUAAUGGCACACCAUACAGCAUUAACUACUAUCGACAUGUCAGUGUUUCCCUCUAGUUUUUUUUUCUGAGGUGGCCUUGCUCUCAGAGGUGGCUUCCUCUCCCCCUGGGAAGGGAUAUAGCUGCUCUGUGGGAGAUGUGGGGGCACCAGGCUCUCUCCGUGGGCUGUUUAUCACUUCUGACUUUGAGGUCCUUUCUCCAUCCCUCCUGGAUCCAGCACCUCUUCCCGAGACACAGGGGUGCAAAGAGCUGGGGGAAGCGUGUCAGCAGGCCUCACCUCCUGCCCCUGCUUUCCCCACCGAGGUGGAGUGGGACAGAGCUCAGGCUUGAGGAGGGAGCACUGGAGGCCAAGCCACAGGUGCUGGUCCUCAGCCCUGGCACCCAGGCAAGUUGGGUUUGGGAACAGGGGCAUGACCAAAAUAGACCCCUCCUUUCCUCCCCACUCCUUUCCACUCCGUCUGCCUUUCCCUUUGCACUCUCCAAGUGUUCCAUCCCCCAGAUGCCCUCUGCUUUCUCUGCUCCAGCCGUUUAACUCCUCUCAACAAAGGCCAAGGAAUCAGGCAGACUGUGGACACUCAGGUGUGCGUGACAGGAAGGACCUACAUUUACAAGAGCUCCACCCCCACAGGGACUGCGUGUGCUGGUGGAAUCUCAGUCACCAUGUCCCACGUUGAAGGAUGUUUGGAGGGGGGCCGACUUUGGUCACCCUUCAAAUCAUAAGUUAUACGCGUCUGCCCUUUCCGCCCACACGUAAGUCUGAACCUUUUGCCAAACACAGUUUUCCCAGACUCGAAAGAAAACCCCAAAGAGGAACCUAAACCUUCACGCUGCCUGCACCAAUUGGACCGGAGUGCUCAGGCUCGCGCCAACACGUGUUUCAAAGAAGAAGCCAGACAGCGAAGGGGGAAGUGAGGGAGAAGCUGGAAACCUCUCAGGCUGACCAAUUGUUAGCCCAUUCAUUCGUCCAUCCAUCUAUCCGUCCGUCCAUCCAUCCAUCCAUUCAUUCUUUCUUUCCUCUAUCCAUUUAGUGAGAAGGGCUGAAUGUCACCUGUGAGCCUGCCCCUGCUCCCAAGAGCACCCUUUGGACCCCUGUGGGGUGAGGAGUGAGGGGCAGCGGUGGCAGAGCACCCCCAGCGCCUGGAGGGGAGAAAGGGAAGGGCUGGGAAGGCUCCCCAAAGGGGCGGCCAUGAAGCUGGGCCUUGAGAAGAUAGGCCAGGGUUUCUCACCUUCCACAUCCUGCUUAGAGUUAGACAGAAGGUUUUCUGCAGAGGAGGAGGAACAUUAAAUAUUAGUAAUUUCUGGCAUGCUGUGAGGGCUUGUCUGUGCCAGGCCCUGUGCUGUGCACAUGAUAUAUGCUAUCUCAUUAAACCUACCCAACAAGCCUUGAGGUGGGUGCUAUUCGUUUUCUCCAUUUUACAGGUGAGAAAACGAAACACAGAGAGGUGAGGCACCUCUCCCAAGGCCACACAGCAAGGAAGUGGCAGAGCCUGGCUGCAGCUGAGGCUUAUAGCUGCAUUUGACAUUGCUUCCUCUCCAAAGAGUGCCUUCCUUUAUCCCGGGAGCCAUUGACAAGGGGUCUGACAGUCCCUCUAGUCUUGUGCCUGCUCAGACCUCUCUAGCCCUGAAAAAACCAGGGCUUGGUGCUGGAGAGAGAGCAGGAGGGUGAGAUGUGGAAACAUCUGUUGAGUGGCAGGGGAUCACGCUGGUGUGGAGAGGCCUGAGCCGAUCAGGAGGCCGGCCUGUGCCAGGCCAGUGCUCACUGUGUACCAGGUGCCACAUGCGGGGCUCAGGGCAGGGCCACAGUCACUCCUCCCAACCACCCUUUGAAGGCAGUGUUACUAGCCCAUUUUACAGAGGAGGAAACUGUGACCUUAAGAGGCGAAUUAACACAUUGGGUCACCCAGCUACCGUGCAGUUUAAACCUAGAUUGUUCUGACUCCUAAACUGUAUGCAAGGCAGAUGAUUGGACCCCGGAGAGGCAAGGAAAGUCAGUUUUUCUGCUGCUGAAUUUGACGUUUUACAAGACCACAUGCCUCUUUAGUCCUCAGUUUUCUCAUCUAUGAAAUCAGGAGGGGAACUCUCUGCCUCCCGGCUCUGACAUGCUCUUGGACUGGUUCACUAUUCCUUGUUUUUGUGACUUCUCAAGGCAAGACCAGAGUCCCACUCCCAGCCCCAGGCCCAAGAUUCCCAUCCCCACUGUGUCCAGGGGCUCCAGGAGGUGCUAUUUCAAGGCAGAUGACAAAGACCUGGGCUGUAGAUCCACUGAGGGCUAAAGGCAAUCUUCCCUCCCUCCCUCCCUCCCUUCCUUCCCUCUCU
This is a long non-coding RNA of Cercocebus atys (sooty mangabey), 4978 nucleotides long. RefSeq lists it as uncharacterized. The record is from RefSeq and is a predicted model, not a curated record. NCBI's taxonomy places the organism in Eukaryota, Metazoa, Chordata, Mammalia, Primates, Cercopithecidae. The transcript has 3 exons.